This 301-nucleotide ribosomal RNA is filed under the name uncultured bacterium. RNAcentral describes it as "partial 16S ribosomal RNA". It matches the Rfam family "Bacterial small subunit ribosomal RNA", at positions 509 to 808 of the family's 1533-position model. The record is from RNAcentral.
CAGUCGCCGCGGUAAUACGUAGGUCCCGAGCGUUGUCCGGAUUUAUUGGGCGUAAAGGGAGCGCAGGCGGUUUAGUAAGUCUGAAGUUAAAGGCAUUGGCUCAACCAAUGUAUGCUUUGGAAACUGUUAGACUUGAGUGCAGAAGGGGAGAGUGGAAUUCCAUGUGUAGCGGUGAAAUGCGUAGAUAUAUGGAGGAACACCAGUGGCGAGAGCGGCUCUCUGGUCUGUCACUGACGCUGAGGCUCGAAAGCGUGGGUAGCAAACAGGAUUAGAGACCCCCGUAGUCCCUGUCUCUUAUACA